UUCUAAUAGUGUAAAGACGGUCUUUGCUUGUCACUUAUAGAUGGAUCCGCGCUGCAUUAGCUAGUUGGUAAGGUAACGGCUUACCAAGGCAACGAUGCAUACCGACCUGAGAGGGUGAUCGGCCACACUGGAACUGAGUACACGGUCCAGACUCCUACGGGUAGGCAGCAGUAGGGAAUCUUCCGCAAUGGGCGAAAGCCUGACGGAGCAACGCCGCGUGAGUGAUGAAGGUUCUUCGGAUCGUAAACUCUGUUAUUAGGGAAGAACAUAUGUGUAAGUAACUGUGCACAUCUUGACGGUACCUAAUCAGAAAGCCACGGCUAACUACGUGCCAGCAGCCGCGGUAAUACGUAGGUGGCAAGCGUUAUCCGGAAUUAUUGGGCGUAAAGCGCGCGUAGGCGGUUUUUUAAGUCUGAUGUGAAAGCCCACGGCUCAACCGUGGAGGGUCAUUGGAAACUGGAAAACUUGAGUGCAGAAGAGGAAACUGGAAUUCCAUGUGUAGCGGUGAAAUGCGCAGAGAUAUGGAGGAACACCAGUGGCGAAGGCGACUUUCUGGUCUGUAACUGACGCUGAUGUGCGAAAGCGUGGGGAUCAAACAGGAUUAGAUACCCUGGUAGUCCACGCCGUAAACGAUGAGUGCCUCAGUGUUAGGGGUUUCCGCCCCUUAGUGCUGCAGCUAAC
This 681-nucleotide ribosomal RNA is filed under the name uncultured Staphylococcus sp. RNAcentral's name for it is "bacterial SSU rRNA". It matches the Rfam family "Bacterial small subunit ribosomal RNA", at positions 191 to 856 of the family's 1533-position model. The record is from RNAcentral. Lineage: Bacteria; Bacillati; Bacillota; Bacilli; Caryophanales; Staphylococcaceae.